GAAGCUGGGGCUCAGUGGUAGAGUGCUUGCCUGGCAUGUGUGAGGCCCUGAGUUCAAUCUUCAGCAUCUCA
Molecule: transfer RNA, 71 nt
Filed under: Marmota monax (woodchuck)
Lineage: Eukaryota; Metazoa; Chordata; Mammalia; Rodentia; Sciuridae
Description: tRNA.Ala
Source: RNAcentral